Molecule: ribosomal RNA, 738 nt
Filed under: Bacillus cereus
Lineage: Bacteria; Bacillati; Bacillota; Bacilli; Caryophanales; Bacillaceae
Description: bacterial SSU rRNA
Rfam family: Bacterial small subunit ribosomal RNA
Source: RNAcentral
UGGGCGGCGGGUGCUAUACAUGCAAGUCGAGCGAAUGGAUUAAGAGCUUGCUCUUAUGAAGUUAGCGGCGGACGGGUGAGUAACACGUGGGUAACCUGCCCAUAAGACUGGGAUAACUCCGGGAAACCGGGGCUAAUACCGGAUAACAUUUUGAACCGCAUGGUUCGAAAUUGAAAGGCGGCUUCGGCUGUCACUUAUGGAUGGACCCGCGUCGCAUUAGCUAGUUGGUGAGGUAACGGCUCACCAAGGCAACGAUGCGUAGCCGACCUGAGAGGGUGAUCGGCCACACUGGGACUGAGACACGGCCCAGACUCCUACGGGAGGCAGCAGUAGGGAAUCUUCCGCAAUGGACGAAAGUCUGACGGAGCAACGCCGCGUGAGUGAUGAAGGCUUUCGGGUCGUAAAACUCUGUUGUUAGGGAAGAACAAGUGCUAGUUGAAUAAGCUGGCACCUUGACGGUACCUAACCAGAAAGCCACGGCUAACUACGUGCCAGCAGCCGCGGUAAUACGUAGGUGGCAAGCGUUAUCCGGAAUUAUUGGGCGUAAAGCGCGCGCAGGUGGUUUCUUAAGUCUGAUGUGAAAGCCCACGGCUCAACCGUGGAGGGUCAUUGGAAACUGGGAGACUUGAGUGCAGAAGAGGAAAGUGGAAUUCCAUGUGUAGCGGUGAAAUGCGUAGAGAUAUGGAGGAACACCAGUGGCGAAGGCGACUUUCUGGUCUGUAACUGACACUGAGGCGC